Molecule: unclassified non-coding RNA, 252 nt
Filed under: uncultured fungus
Lineage: Eukaryota; Fungi
Description: partial contains small subunit ribosomal RNA, internal transcribed spacer 1, and 5.8S ribosomal RNA
Rfam family: Eukaryotic small subunit ribosomal RNA (bases 1-74)
Source: RNAcentral
GGCAAACUUGGUCAUUUAGAGGAAGUAAAAGUCGUAACAAGGUUUCCGUAGGUGAACCUGCGGAAGGAUCAUUAGCAAAUCCGUGCUGGUUGCAUCGUGCGUGCUGCACAAUCGGUGCAAUUACGCUUGUUCCAUGUGCACGUUUGCUGCACAUUGCGAUACAUUUCUGCAAAUCGUCUGAUUGUCAUUCAAUGUCAAUAUCAACUUUUAACAAUGGAUCUCUAGGCUCCUGCAUCGAAUGAAGAACGCAGC